GGUCAAGUUUCUAAGAGCAAACGGUGGAUGCCUUGGCAUCUGGAGCCGAUGAAGGACGUAGAAAUCUGCGAUAAGCCUCGGGGAGCUGAUAAUCGAGCCUCGAUCCGAGGAUUUCCGAAUGGGGAAACCCCGCCAGGCGCUUUGCGACCUGGUGACUCCCGCCUGAAUAUAUAGGGCGGGUAGAGGGAACGUGGGGAAGUGAAACAUCUCAGUACCCACAGGAAGAGAAAACAACAUGUGAUUCCGUGAGUAGUGGCGAGCGAAAGCGGAUGAGGCUAAACCGAUCAUGUGUGAUAGCCGGCGGGCGUUGCAUGGUCGGGGUUGUGGGACACGUCACUCAGUUCUGCCGGACUGGGACGGUUACAGCGCAUCAUAGUCGAACCGGUUUGAAAGCCGGGCCGUAGUGGGUGCCAGCCCCGUAGACGAAAUGGUGUUAUGGCCGGAUGUGUAUCCCAAGUAGCACGGGGCCCGAGAAAUCCCGUGUGAAUCUGUCAGGACCACCUGAUAAGCCUAAAUACUCCCAGAUGACCGAUAGCGGACAAGUACCGUGAGGGAAAGGUGAAAAGUACCCCGGGAGGGGAGUGAAAUAGUACCUGAAACCGUUUGCUUACAAACCGUCGGAGCCUCCUUAGUAGGGGUGACGGCGUGCCUUUUGAAGAAUGAGCCUGCGAGUUAGUGAUAUGUGGCGAGGUUAACCCGUGAGGGGCAGCCGUAGCGAAAGCGAGUCUGAAUAGGGCGUUUGAGUCGCAUGUUCUAGACCCGAAGCGAAGUGAUCUAUCCAUGGCCAGGUUGAAGCGACGGUAAGACGUCGUGGAGGACCGAACCCACUUCAGUUGAAAAUGGAGGGGAUGAGCUGUGGAUAGGGGUGAAAGGCCAAUCAAACUUCGUGAUAGCUGGUUCUCUCCGAAAUGCAUUUAGGUGCAGCGUUGCGUGUUUCUCGCCGGAGGUAGAGCUACUGGAUGGCCGAUGGGCCUCAACAGGUUACUGACGUCAGCCAAACUCCGAAUGCCGGUGAGUGAGAGCGCAGCAGUGAGACGGUGGGGGAUAAGCUUCAUCGUCGAGAGGGAAACAACCCAGACUACCAACUAAGGUCCCUAAGCGUGUGCUAAGUGGGAAAGGAUGUGGAGUUGCACAGACAACCAGGAGGUUGGCUUAGAAGCAGCCACCCUUGAAAGAGUGCGUAAUAGCUCACUGGUCAAGUGAUUCCGCGCCGACAAUGUAACGGGGCUCAAGCACACCACCGAAGUUGUAGAUUUCGCACUAUAGACAAGCCUUCGUGGUUCAGUCGUGCGGAGUGGUAGGAGAGCGUCGUGUGGCGAGUGAAGCGGCGGAGUGAUCCAGCCGUGGACGCUACACGAGUGAGAAUGCAGGCAUGAGUAGCGAAAGACGGGUGAGAAACCCGUCCUCCGAAAGACCAAGGGUUCCAGGGCCAGGUUAAUCCGCCCUGGGUAAGUCGGGACCUAAGGCGAGGCCGACAGGCGUAGUCGAUGGACAACGGGUUGAUAUUCCCGUACCGGCGAACAACCGCCCAAGCUAAUCCAGUGGUGCUAAGAGUCCUAACCCGGUACAACCGGAUCCCUUCGGGGUGAUGGUGGCCGGUCUAACGCUCGACCCCAUGCUGGUGCGGUUAGCGUAUGAACAGGUGUGACGCAGGAAGGUAGCUGAGCCAGGCGAUGGUAUCCGUAAGGUGAACCUGGUGUAAGGAUGUAGGGCUGACGAUAGGCAAAUCCGUCGUCUGUACGCCUGAGAUCCGACGCGUACCCGUAAGGGGAAAUCAGUGAUCCU
This 1785-nucleotide ribosomal RNA is filed under the name Curtobacterium flaccumfaciens pv. flaccumfaciens. RNAcentral's name for it is "partial 23S ribosomal RNA". It matches the Rfam family "Bacterial large subunit ribosomal RNA", at positions 1 to 1601 of the family's 2925-position model. The record is from RNAcentral. Lineage: Bacteria; Bacillati; Actinomycetota; Actinomycetes; Micrococcales; Microbacteriaceae.